AGCAUAACGUUGAACAAGAGGAGUAGCUGGUUUAGGUACUUUUAGAGAGAGAACGAAUGGGUGGGACGUUCUUAGUAGCAGCUGGUGAAGGUAGCUUGGGAGUUUUUAUCUUGAAUCUUUUAGUAGAGAUAAACGGGUCGUGACCGUUAACUCACAUGGAGAGGUAAUAGGAGAAACUAUUACAAAUUAGGUGGUACCGCGUAAAUCAAUACGUCCUAAAA
This 221-nucleotide non-coding RNA is filed under the name Enterococcus durans. Its description in RNAcentral is "T-box sequence". It matches the Rfam family "T-box leader". From Rfam's summary of the family: Uncharged tRNA acts as the effector for transcription antitermination of genes in the T-box leader family. T-boxes are found upstream of many aminoacyl-tRNA synthetase genes and some amino acid biosynthetic genes usually in Gram-positive bacteria. The record is from RNAcentral. Lineage: Bacteria; Bacillati; Bacillota; Bacilli; Lactobacillales; Enterococcaceae.